This 1699-nucleotide long non-coding RNA is filed under the name Homo sapiens (human). RNAcentral describes it as "MIR155 host gene". The stretch from base 511 to 575 matches the Rfam family "mir-155 microRNA precursor family". The record is from RNAcentral. Lineage: Eukaryota; Metazoa; Chordata; Mammalia; Primates; Hominidae.
CAUUUGAAGGCGUUUCCUUUUCUUUAAGAACAAAGGUUGGAGCCCAAGCCUUGCGGCGCGGUGCAGGAAAGUACACGGCGUGUGUUGAGAGAAAAAAAAUACACACACGCAAUGACCCACGAGAAAGGGAAAGGGGAAAACACCAACUACCCGGGCGCUGGGCUUUUUCGACUUUUCCUUUAAAAAGAAAAAAGUUUUUCAAGCUGCGCGGGCUUCCUGUGCGCGGCCGAGCCCGGGCCCAGCGCCGCCUGCAGCCUCGGGAAGGGAGCGGAUAGCGGAGCCCCGAGCCGCCCGCAGAGCAAGCGCGGGGAACCAAGGAGACGCUCCUGGCACUGCAGAUAACUUGUCUGCAUUUCAAGAACAACCUACCAGAGACCUUACCUGUCACCUUGGCUCUCCCACCCAAUGGAGAUGGCUCUAAUGGUGGCACAAACCAGGAAGGGGAAAUCUGUGGUUUAAAUUCUUUAUGCCUCAUCCUCUGAGUGCUGAAGGCUUGCUGUAGGCUGUAUGCUGUUAAUGCUAAUCGUGAUAGGGGUUUUUGCCUCCAACUGACUCCUACAUAUUAGCAUUAACAGUGUAUGAUGCCUGUUACUAGCAUUCACAUGGAACAAAUUGCUGCCGUGGGAGGAUGACAAAGAAGCAUGAGUCACCCUGCUGGAUAAACUUAGACUUCAGGCUUUAUCAUUUUUCAAUCUGUUAAUCAUAAUCUGGUCACUGGGAUGUUCAACCUUAAACUAAGUUUUGAAAGUAAGGUUAUUUAAAAGAUUUAUCAGUAGUAUCCUAAAUGCAAACAUUUUCAUUUAAAUGUCAAGCCCAUGUUUGUUUUUAUCAUUAACAGAAAAUAUAUUCAUGUCAUUCUUAAUUGCAGGUUUUGGCUUGUUCAUUAUAAUGUUCAUAAACACCUUUGAUUCAACUGUUAGAAAUGUGGGCUAAACACAAAUUUCUAUAAUAUUUUUGUAGUUAAAAAUUAGAAGGACUACUAACCUCCAGUUAUAUCAUGGAUUGUCUGGCAACGUUUUUUAAAAGAUUUAGAAACUGGUACUUUCCCCCAGGUAACGAUUUUCUGUUCAGGCAACUUCAGUUUAAAAUUAAUACUUUUAUUUGACUCUUAAAGGGAAACUGAAAGGCUAUGAAGCUGAAUUUUUUUAAUGAAAUAUUUUUAACAGUUAGCAGGGUAAAUAACAUCUGACAGCUAAUGAGAUAUUUUUUCCAUACAAGAUAAAAAGAUUUAAUCAAAAAAUUUCAUAUUUGAAAUGAAGUCCCAAAUCUAGGUUCAAGUUCAAUAGCUUAGCCACAUAAUACGGUUGUGCGAGCAGAGAAUCUACCUUUCCACUUCUAAGCCUGUUUCUUCCUCCAUAUGGGGAUAAUACUUUACAAGGUUGUUGUGAGGCUUAGAUGAGAUAGAGAAUUAUUCCAUAAGAUAAUCAAGUGCUACAUUAAUGUUAUAGUUAGAUUAAUCCAAGAACUAGUCACCCUACUUUAUUAGAGAAGAGAAAAGCUAAUGAUUUGAUUUGCAGAAUAUUUAAGGUUUGGAUUUCUAUGCAGUUUUUCUAAAUAACCAUCACUUACAAAUAUGUAACCAAACGUAAUUGUUAGUAUAUUUAAUGUAAACUUGUUUUAACAACUCUUCUCAACAUUUUGUCCAGGUUAUUCACUGUAACCAAAUAAAUCUCAUGAGUCUUUAGUUGAUUUAAAAUAA